This 1470-nucleotide ribosomal RNA is filed under the name Triticum aestivum (bread wheat). RNAcentral describes it as "partial small subunit ribosomal RNA". The record is from RNAcentral. Lineage: Eukaryota; Viridiplantae; Streptophyta; Magnoliopsida; Poales; Poaceae.
AUGCUUAUUCUUGAUGGUUGUUCCAGCUUGGAGCAAGUUGCCCUGCAAGGAGCUCCUCCACUGCUUGAAAGUUUUAGCUUCGAUGGUUAUGGCCCAGCAGAGAAUUGGACACAUUCCAUACACCUGCCACAAAAGGAAUUGCGCCUCAAGUCUCCUUUAGCUCCUGUUCAAAUAGUCAAGGUGACAAAGAUCUCCCUACAUGGUUGCGGUCGAUUGCAUAACAUAUACCUGCAUGCACUACCGAAUCUGGAGGAACUGGACCUCUCUGGUACAGCUAUUAAAAUAAUUGACCUCCAUGCAAUGUAUGUCCCGAAACUCAAGAAGCUAUUCCUACUGGGCUGUGAGCAGCUCCGUAGCCUAAUCUGGAAAGGAUCACCUAGACUGGAAGUUCUACAUGUGGAUACUCAAGGGACGAAAAGAUCAGUGGUCUGCUAUGGAGAACAGGGAUCCUUUGGCUUUCAGGCACAUAUUGUUUUUACGGAUGGAAGGUUCAUUUGGUCAUCCUCAGAUGGGCUCAAUAGCCGAUCACAAAAUGCUGUCUCCAAGGUGUACCUCCUUAUCUCUUGUACGAGCAGUAGCCAAGCCAACAUCACCAAAAGUAUCAAGGAGAUUGGAUCUAGCCGACAGGGUUUGGUUCCAACAAGGCCGCUAUUACCGUAUAAUGAUAUUGCCAUGGCUAAGGAUGUUACAUGCUCGCUCUUGGUGUGGAACUGUCAACAGCUCCAAACUUUGGACGUGCAUAUCGAGAUUGGUAAAGGAAGCUAUAAUUUAGAGAGUAUGCAAGAUGAAGGGAAUUUCAGAAGUUUCGCAGCUUUUGUUGUUGAAUCAUUGCAUGUGCAUGACAAUUGCUCCAUCACUGCUAUCCGCCCAUUCUGGGAGAGACUAAAAUGGUGUCAUGUUGAGAGUUGCCCCAAGCUACACUCUGUGUUUUCACGUCGGAAUGGAACAUACAGCUUUCCGUGUAUAGAGAUAUUUUCAGCUUCUGAUCUCCUGGUGGCCUAUUGCAUUUGGGGAGGCAUCAAGAGAACUUGGAAUGACCUUUACCCCAGACACCAGAGUCUCUUACAGCUGCAGCACAUAUACCUGUACAAUUGCCCAAGGCUGGUGUUCGUCCUCCUCAUUUCCUUCACCUUGCCCAACUUGGAGACCCUCCAGAUCGCAUACUGCAGUAACCUCCGGCAUGUUUUCCCAUGGGACCACAAGUACACUGAGGAAAUAGCAUCUGGUUUCACAUUCAACAACCUGAAGCACAUCAAGCUACACCAUCUUCACAAGCUGGAGCAGAUAUGUGAGGUCAAAUUGACUGCACCUGCGUUGCAGUCAGUCGGCAUCAGGGACUGCUGGGGUCUCAGGCGUCUCCCGGCCGUAGCACAUCAAUUUCCUAAGCCGGUGGUGGACUGCGAGAAGGACUUGUGGGACAAGCUCAAAUGGGAUGGCUUGAGGGCUGGGCAUCACAUAUCUACCAUAUAA